RNAcentral lists this long non-coding RNA (1739 nucleotides) under Theobroma cacao (cacao). RNAcentral describes it as "long non-coding RNA (TCAC_LNC001733)". Lineage: Eukaryota; Viridiplantae; Streptophyta; Magnoliopsida; Malvales; Malvaceae. The record is from RNAcentral.
CCAAAUCAGAAGAGAAGAGAAACCAAGGAAGAACAAACCCUAGGUGGGAAAAAUCAAAGAGAAAGUGUUGGAAUUCAAGGAUUUGAUCAAGCAAAGGUAAAAUUUCUUUGAUUUUGCUAGUGAUUUACCUUACCCAUGCAUUUUCUCUUAAUUUUCAUGGUUAAAUUACAUGUUUUCAUGAUGAAUUCAUGGCUAGUCAAAAUGGGCAAGGAGAGAGAAAGAUGUUGGAUUGAAUUGAUUUUAAGAUAUGUUAGUGUUUUUAGUUAGUUUAGCAUAUUUAGAAGCAAAACAACAAGAAAAGAAUCCAUUUUUUCCAUGAAUCUUCAUUGGCCAAAUCUUCCUUGAUGUGUGUGGGUGAUGGAUUAUUAUUAUUUCAAGAGAAAUGACUUAGAAAAUGAUGAAUAAUGGUGAGAAAAUUAAGUAGGAAAAAUCACGAUGUUAGUGCACUAUAAUGGCUGAAUUUUUCCAUGAAGAAAUUGGAAGCUUUUGAUGCUGAAAUUGGUGUUAUUUGAAUAAUAUUUGGUGAAUUGAGGUAUUAGAAAUGAAAUGGAGCAAUUUGGAGCCAAAUUGGAUACAAUUGUCAUUUAAUCGGGUAAUAGACCGAAAUAGGUCAAUACGGUGUUUAGGCAAAAUUUAGACCUUUUGCAUUUCAUACCAUGCAUUAGUGAUCUAAAUUAGUUAUUUCAAUUGAAGGGCAACGUAGUAAAUUCCUUGAUUUUAUACUGUGUCAAGGUGGUGUGCUCUUCGAUAAAGGCAAGGAAAUUACGCCUGGGGAUCACUAAACUGAGUACACCUGAAAUCUGAACUUUUGAAACCUGUGAGUGAACUUAUUAUCAUCUUAAUUAUCUAGAGUAGUUUUAUACAAUUGUAUGAUUUUAUGAAAAAUGGAUUUAAAUGGUAAAUUGCUAUGUUUUAAGAGAAAUUGUGCUUUUAUAAAAUGAUUUUAUAAAUUUUUUAGAAAAUUGAAUACUGGUUUUGAAAAUAAAGUAAUUGGAGACUGCCUACUUGUGUUGUAAAUUUCUGGUUUUAAAUUGAAUGGCUUAUGACAAUAUAUGAGCAUGAAUGGCUAAACUGAUUUUGGUGUUAGAAUUAUUUGUACUGUGAAUUCAGCCUUGAGAGGCUAGGUUGCGAUAAAUUGCCAUGUCAUGCAGAAAAAGAUUUUAUAAAUCAGGUGGUAGAUAAAAUAAUUCAUAAUCCCUGCAGUGGAGGUUUUGUGGACCAACCUAAGAGAGGGGGCACAGAAUCAGAUAUACCUUACCUCAAUCGAAGAGCCGUGUGGAGGGUAUCUCUGGAGGUAAAGAUUUGAGUGCACUUCACGUGGACCACCGCGUGAGAGUGAGACUCAGCUAAUGCCAAGGCAUGGCUAGAAUUUCGGAUGUAAAGACAUUUAACAGCUUUGGUAGUCUCGGUCAGAUGCCUAGGCCAAGGCAUCCUCGAGAAUGAUUUUGGCAGGAGCCAAGUUUUGUGAAAUACAUACGCCAAGUUGAUUAUUUGAGUGAAUUGAUUAUUGAUGUUAUGAAAAACAUACUGGAAUGGAAUAUCUUACUUGUCUCCAUUUACUCGACUUUAGAUGGUUUAGAUGGUAUCUGUUUACUCACUGGGAUUUUAUAAUCUCACCACUCUCAAUUCCCUACAUUUCAGGCUCAGGAUAGCAGGUAGAUAGCCGAUUCCAUCAAGGAUUUCAGUUAGCCUUGCAUCGACAAAAUUGUAGGUUCACAGACUCGCACCUUAUUGGUUAG